CCUACGGGAGGCAGCAGUAGGGAAUCUUCCACAAUGGGCGAAAGCCUGAUGGAGCAACGCCGCGUGGGUGAAGAAGGUCUUCGGAUCGUAAAACCCUGUUGUUAGAGAAGAAAGUGCGUGAGAGUAACUGUUCACGUUUCGACUGUCUCCAACCAGAAAGCCACGGCUAACUACGUGCCAGCAGCCGCGGUAAUACGUAGGGGGCAAGCGUGAUCCGGAGUUAGUGGGCGUAAAGGGAACGCAGGCGGUCUUUUAAGUCUGCUGUGAAAGCCUUCGGCUUAACCGGAGUAGUGCAUUGGAAACUGGGAGACUGGAGGGCAGAAGAGGAGAGUGGAACUCCAUGUGUAGCGGUGAAAGGCGUAGAUAUAUGGAAGAACACCAGUGGCGAAGGCGGCUCUCUGGUCUGUAACUGACGCUGAGGUUCGAAAGCGUGGGUAGCAAACAGGAUUAGAUACCCGGGUAGUC
Molecule: ribosomal RNA, 465 nt
Filed under: uncultured bacterium
Lineage: Bacteria
Description: partial 16S ribosomal RNA
Rfam family: Bacterial small subunit ribosomal RNA
Source: RNAcentral